Bombina bombina (fire-bellied toad) is the source of this 246-nucleotide long non-coding RNA. RefSeq lists it as uncharacterized. The record is from RefSeq and is a predicted model, not a curated record. The transcript is spliced from 2 exons. Lineage: Eukaryota; Metazoa; Chordata; Amphibia; Anura; Bombinatoridae.
UGUCAUUGCAGUUUCCUUUUUCAUAAAUGAUAACGUUGAGAAAUAUGUAUUUAAACUACGCAAAAGCAAUGCCGGGGAGCCCUGUUUACAAACAAAUUUUGGAGCUGCUCUGUCUACAUCAGAAGGGUUUCUGCCAUCACUUCUUCCCUGGGAUUAACAGCAGUGUGUGAGAGCUUGAGGAGUUUAACUGGAAAGAAGACAAGCAAUGUGAUAAAGGGACACAAUUAAAACAUGUUUACACUGGUU